GCACUUCCCAAGCGCGCUGCGAGCACCUAUAUUGUCGGGGUCGGCGGGCGACCGUCGACUAUGGCGAUAAACGCUGCUCGGAAUAAGCGUUGCGGACCCGGGGGCAGUACCCGGCGCCUCCACCACCCCAUGGGCCGGCGGCCCGCGUUAUGGGGGCGAACCAGGAUCGACGUGCGUGGUAAAGGUGUGGUUUUCGCCCGGCAUGGUACCGCCGUUAUCGGGCCAACUCAGAGGUGCGAACGACAACGAAGUCGCACUCGCUGCCUAGCAUCGCUAGGCAAGCGCGGCUUGGGGGGCGCCGGGCAACAGAAGCCCCCCGCU
Molecule: transfer-messenger RNA, 321 nt
Filed under: Rhodospirillaceae bacterium
Lineage: Bacteria; Pseudomonadati; Pseudomonadota; Alphaproteobacteria; Rhodospirillales; Rhodospirillaceae
Rfam family: Alphaproteobacteria transfer-messenger RNA
About the family: Bacterial tmRNA, also known as 10Sa RNA or SsrA, is named for its dual tRNA and mRNA-like properties. Its role is to liberate the mRNA from a stalled ribosome.
Source: RNAcentral